Molecule: ribosomal RNA, 228 nt
Filed under: uncultured Streptococcus sp.
Lineage: Bacteria; Bacillati; Bacillota; Bacilli; Lactobacillales; Streptococcaceae
Description: partial 16S ribosomal RNA
Rfam family: Bacterial small subunit ribosomal RNA
Source: RNAcentral
ACUAGGUGUUGUCUGUAUCGACCCGGACAGUGCCGUAGCUAACGCGUUAAGUAUCCCGCCUGGGGAGUACGCACGCAAGUGUGAAACUCAAAGGAAUUGACGGGGCCGCACAAGCGGUGGAGCAUGUGGUUUAAUUCGAAGCAACGCGAAGAACCUUACCAGGUCUUGACAUCCCGAUGCUAUUUCUAGAGAUAGAAAGUUACUUCGGUACAUCGGUGACAGGUGGUG